GCCACACGUGCAGAGAGCGGAAGCCGGGAAUGGAAUCCCGGUGCAAGCGAGGUACCAGUCACAUUGGAAAAACCGUGUGGCAAUGGGAAGACGUGAUGCGGAGUGAAAAAUAGUAACGAAGUCCGUGAGCUGUGCGUCAAGAAAAGCCGCUAUUGUUCAUACCAUACCCGUACCGUAAACCGACACAGGUGGAUGAGGAGAGAAUCCUAAGGCCGGCGGAAGAAGCAUUGUCAAGGAACUCGGCAAAGUGACCCCGUAACUUCGGGAGAAGGGGUGCCACUGAAAAGUGGCCGCAGAGAAUAGGCUCAAGCAACUGUUUAGCAAAAACACAGGUCUAUGCGAAACCGUAAGGUGAGGUAUAUGGGCUGACGCCUGCCCGGUGCUGGAAGGUUAAGAGGAGAGGUUAGCGCAAGCGAAGCUUUGAAUUUAAGCCCCAGUAAACGGCGGCCGUAACAAUAACGGUCCUAAGGUAGCGAAAUUCCUUGUCGGGUAAGUUCCGACCCGCACGAAAGGCGUAAUGAUUUGAGCGCUGUCUCGACAAUGCAUCCGGUGAAAUUGAAGUACCAGUGAAGAUGCUGGUUACCUGCGCCAGGACGGAAAGACCCCAUGGAGCUUUACUCCAGUUUGGUACUGGGAUCCGGUACUGCAUGUACAGGAUAGGUGGGAGGCUGUGAAAUAGUAACGCCAGUUAUUAUGGAGCCGCUGUUGGGAUACCACCCUUGCAGUAUUGGGUUUCUAACCAGCCGCCGUGACCCGGCGGUGGGACAAUGCCAGACGGGGAGUUUGACUGGGGCGGUCGCCUCCGAAAGGGUAUCGGAGGCGCCCAAAGGUUCCCUCAGAAUGGACGGAAACCAUUCGAAGAGUGCAAAGGCAGAAGGGAGCUUGACUGCGACACCGACGGGUGGAGCAGGUACGAAAGUAGGGCUUAGUGAUCCGGUGGUAUUAAGUGGGAAUGCCAUCGCUCAACGGAUAAAAGCUACCCUGGGAUAACAGGCUUAUCACUCCCAAGAGUUCACAUCGACGGAGUGGUUUGGCACCUCGAUGUCGGCUCAUCGCAUCCUGGGGCUGUAGUAGGUCCCAAGGGUUGGGCUGUUCGCCCAUUAAAGCGGUACGCGAGCUGGGUUCAGAACGUCGUGAGACAGUUCGGUCCCUAUCCGGCGUGGGCGUAGGAUAUCUGAGAGGAGCUGUCCUUAGUACGAGAGGACCGGGAUGGACGGGCCGCUGGUGCACCGGUUAGACUGCCAAGUCUAUAGCCGGGUAGCCAAGCCCGGAAGGGAUAAACGCUGAAGGCAUCUAAGCGUGAAGCCCCCCUCAAGAUGAGAUAUCCCAUCCGAAAGGAGUAAACCCCCUUGAAGACGACGAGGUUGAUAGGGCAGAGGUGGAAGUACGUUAACGUAUGGAGCUGACUGCUACUAAUAGGGUGGGGGCUUGAC
RNAcentral lists this ribosomal RNA (1433 nucleotides) under metagenome. RNAcentral describes it as "bacterial LSU rRNA". It matches the Rfam family "Bacterial large subunit ribosomal RNA", at positions 1469 to 2925 of the family's 2925-position model. The record is from RNAcentral.